CCCAAACAUGAUACUUAUUUAUUGAUAAUUCAUACCCUGCCUAUUUCUCAAAAAUGACUUGAGAAAAACUGCACAACAUAGCGACAAUACACAUACAGAAAUUAAAAGUGAAACAGGAAUACAUAGAGAUAUAACACACAAACAUCAAACUAUGAUUAGAUCAGGUAAAUGAGUGUUCUGAACUGCUUUGGUGUCACAGAGGCAUUUAAAAAUAUAGUAAAUACUACAGAUCCUUGUCCCAGCAAAAUUCCUUCAAGCACAUACCCAGCUUUGUUCGAUCCCUAGGGGUCUGCAACUCCUAAACCCCUACAUGCUAAAGACUCCUAGGCAGGCCAUGGACCCCCAGAUUAAGAACUCUAAAGUAAAUGAAAGUCAGAGAAAAUAUGGAUUUGAAUAAAAUAAUGAAAAAAUUGAGUUAACAAAUAGAACUGGUAGAAUAAAAACACAUUUUGAGAUUACACAAAUGCUUUUAUAAAAACUGAUAAUAUAUUCAGGCCCAAAGAAGUCCUAUGGACACUUAGAAAUGUUGACACCACAGUACAGUAAGAAAUAAGCAGCAAUACCCUAAGCAUUCAUCACUUAGAAAUUUUUUUUAUAUAUAUUUUUUUUGAGACAGAGUCUAGCUCUUUUGCCCAGGCUGGAGUGCAGUGGCACCACCUCGGCUCACUGCAAGCUCUGCCUCCCGGGUUCACACCAUUCUCCUGCCUCAGCCUCCCAACUGGGAUUACAGGCACCCGCCACCAUGCCCAGUUAAUUUUUGUAUUUUUAGUAGAGACGGGUUUUCACCAUGUUGGCCAGGCUGGUCUUAAACUCCUGACCUCGUGAUCCACCCACCUCGGCCUUCCAAAGUGCUGGGAUUACAGGUGUGAGUCACCAUGCCCGGCCCACUUAGAAAUAUUUUUAAAUAAUAACAUUUGGGCAAAAGGAAAUUCUUAAUACUAUAACAAAAAACACCACGUCAAAACUUACGGAGUGCAGACAAAGCUGUCACUCUAAGGAGAAGAAGAAAUAAAAAAA
This 1017-nucleotide long non-coding RNA is filed under the name Homo sapiens (human). Its description in RNAcentral is "HSALNT0275930". The record is from RNAcentral. Lineage: Eukaryota; Metazoa; Chordata; Mammalia; Primates; Hominidae.